This 206-nucleotide ribosomal RNA is filed under the name uncultured bacterium. RNAcentral describes it as "partial 16S ribosomal RNA". It matches the Rfam family "Bacterial small subunit ribosomal RNA", at positions 1295 to 1500 of the family's 1533-position model. The record is from RNAcentral.
GGAUUGAAGGCUGAAAUUCGCCUUCAUGAAGCCGGAAUUGCUAGUAAUGGCAGGUCAGCAUACUGCCGUGAAUACGUUCCCGGGCCUUGUACACACCGCCCGUCACACCAUGAGAGUUGGGAAUACCCGAAGCCUGUGAGCCAACUGUAAAGAGGCAGCAGUCGAAGGUAGAAUCAAUGAUUGGGGUGAAGUCGUAACAAGGUAGC